Molecule: ribosomal RNA, 226 nt
Filed under: uncultured bacterium
Lineage: Bacteria
Description: partial 16S ribosomal RNA
Rfam family: Bacterial small subunit ribosomal RNA
Source: RNAcentral
GCGUAACGCGUAUGCAACUUACCUUUCACAGGAGGAUAGCCCGGGGAAACCCGGAUUAAUACUUCAUGGUGUUAUAAUACGGCAUCGUAUAAUAACUAAAGAUUUAUUGGUGAAAGAUGGGCAUGCGUCCAAUUAGCUAGAUGGCGAGGUAACGGCUCACCAUGGCGAUGAUUGGUAGGGGUUCUGAGAGGAUGAUCCCCCACACUGGUACUGAGACACGGACCAG